UUUGAUUGAAAGAUAAUUUGGCCAUCAAAGCAGCCACACGGCCUUCUGAAACUCUGGCUGAAAGCUUUCUGAGCACAGCAAGGGUCAAACAAGUGACCGGGCGGAGCUCGGCGGAAUUUGGAAAAAGGGAAAGGAUUCUUGGAAUACACGCCUGUGUGACAUACUCACCCAUGAACACUCACCUGAGGGUCAGUGCUCACAGGGUGACAUGGUAGGCACCUCUCGAAAGUUGUAAAGGGACCUUUAGGAAUGUGGCCACGAGAUGGACACUACUUAGACAUGAUGUGGGCCUCUUUCUCAUUGGACCAGGGACUUCAGAUAAAGGAUAAGACCCAGGAGGCUGGGCCUCAGAAGGACCAAUUUACAGGGCAUUUUGAUAGUGAACCAAUUAACCUCUUCUACCUAUAGGGCUCAGACAAAAGAUAGUUGGGCUCAGGAUGCAUUCUGGGAGCACUGCCGCGUGUGGGUGGUAAUGAUGUGUCAGAAGUUCUUUUUCAGAUGGGCUAAGUAGACUCCAGUCCUAUAUGGAAUGUCCGAGGCUGUGUCAGAGAAACACAAAGGUCUCUUCUGCCUCCCUUCCUGGGUUCUAGGAUUCUUCUGAAAAGAACCCUAAUGCUAACUAGAAGGUAGAAGAGUGGAAGCCCAGACACAGAUUAAGGAGUACACAUAGGUUCGGCCACAAUGGAGAUCAGGGAGGGAGGAUCUUCAACAAACUAAGAAAGAACCAGUGUAUGGCCCACUACAGCGUGUCCAGGUUAUUUACCUGAGGGACCGUAAGCCAACCUAUCACCCUGUGAACACUGCUGUGAGUUCACAAUUAUGGCUGAGUUAUGUACGGAAGCAAGAGAAGCGUCCGUCAACAAAUGACAGGGUUAAAUGGAGUGUGUGUGUAUAACGAAACUUUAGUCAGCUCUAAGGAAGAGCAGAAUCAUGCUGUUUGUUGAAGAACGGGUGUGACAGAAACUAACUAUAUGAAAUAAGUCAGCAAGAUAAGUGUCACACAUUUUUAGUCCUUUUGCACAUCCUUGGGUACACACACACACACAACACACCCUCACACACACUAAGGAAAAAAAAACUGGCUUCGAAGGACAAAAGGAGGCUACGAAAGGAAACAUAUUUGUUCGACUUUGAGGAAGAAGCCGAUUUGUCUGAAGGAGUCUGGGGACAGCCCUGCCUUUGUCUGAUAAGCCCUCUCUGCAAGUCCCUGUAAGCCAUAUGUGUUUAAGAUGUAGAGGAUCAGCUCAGGGGAUCAGCGCACAGCCCUGGAAGCGUUAGCAUGCGCUUCCUACUUUAAGCAGCUGUCUGGCAAAAUGGUCUGUCACUGUCAUAGGGCAGCCGAGCAUGAGAGUGCUUUGACAGUGCGAGUCUGUCUCAAUCCUUCCACCCAAACUCAAAGGAACGUCUUCCCAAAGGCCGAGGGCAGCCAUUCUUUGCAGCGGGAGUAAGCUCGGCUGAUGGCUUAAUCUGGAAGCCAAUUGGCUUUCAAGGAGACAUAACUCACUCCAUAUUUAGAGAAACGUUUGGAGUCUAUUGGGACUGCUUCGGGAGGGGAUUUGAAAACUUUGAAAAGGAACCUGAUAUGAACACUGACCGACUGGAAGACCUUCUGUCUUUCACAAGUGGGCACGUACCUGGCAGCCCUUGCUGGCUUGGCUUCAACUCCUAGAUCCCGGAUCAUGGAAGCCCUGGAGGGUCUGGCAGUUGGUUCCGGAGUCAACAAGAAGCAGGCAGCCACCACCAACCUAGAAGUAUUAUCAUGGUUUAACAGCAAUCCAAGCAAUGUCUCUGCUCCUGAAAUGGAACCUGGGCCUUGUUGGACGACGUGGGACAAAGGAGAGAGGCAGGUCCACUGUGGGGUCUGUCUGUGUUUAUAUGGUUGGCAGAGCGCGCUUUGAUGUCACCCUGAUGACGUCUGUCAUCUUCCCCACACCUGCUAUGGCAUGGCUGCCUUCAGUCACAAGCCUGAUUCACAGCACACUCUAUGUUUAGCAGCGCUCUGAGAAGGAUUCCAGUCUGCCUUCAGCCCUAAAUAGCUACAAAUAUCAGAGUAGCAGCGGCAGCCCUUCAAAGGCCUUUUUGGGAAGUGUCAUGCCAGAGAUGGGGUGACACAGAGGAGCCCCAGAAAGAAGCAAGAUGUCACCUGGAAACUGGAGGGAAAAAGAAGAAAUGAACCAGCGUCGACUGCUAAGAAGGUGAAGAAAUGAACCAGCGUCGACUGCUAAGAAGGUGAAGAAAUGAACCAGCGUCGACUGCUAAGAAGGUGAUAAAGUUGACCAUCUGUUCCUCAGUUACUUAUAGCACGGUCAUCGUCUGGAAAGUUGGAGACAAUGACUAGAAGACAAUGAAGGGACGAAAUACAAGGUGUCUGGUGCAGACUGAUAUGGCCAGGCACGUAAUUAAUGCCUCUUUAAAAGUGAACAAAAGCAGAGCAAGAAGUAAAAAACAAAGCGAUUACGCAUCAGCUGCUGAAACACUGUGUCCUAGCUUAAACGAGGCUGGAAAAAUGCUUCCACAGAGAACAGGAUGCUUGAGGACUCUAGCCUUUUCCCGGAGGGGCUGUAAUGGCUCCAGCCUCGCAGACGGGCUGCGCAGCGGCGCCAGCGAGCUCUGCUGCCCCCUGCUGGACGGAACGCGGGACUCGCGCCAGCCAGUCUGCGAGGCUCCCGCUGGCUCCCUGGGGACCCAGCACUCCUCCAGCAGGUUAUGCAACACCAGCUCACUUCAGGAAAGGAAACCAUCGACUUCAUGGAGCUUCCAAUGAGCCAGUGUUAAGAGUAAGGCGGAGACUAGAAAAUAGCACGCAUGUGUCCAGCCUUGGAGGCGCGUGUGUAAGGGGAGUGGACUAACUGAAAGGAAGCAGUGUAAAGAUUAGCCGCAGGGUAUGGUCUUCUAGUGACGCCGCACCUCAUGACCAGCUACUGACAUGGUGGGCGGCAGUGCUUCAUUUCCGGAGUGCAGCCCCAUCUUCUAGCUCCUUCAAGGUUAUAGAUCUUCUAGCUGUGUGACCUUCAAGGUUUUAAACUCUGACUGUUGGUGAACCAUAUCCAGUGGGUUGGUCUUUCCUAACAAGACACACAGUGAAGGCUUUAUAGAGAGGCAUAUUAAGGUGGAGCAGGGCUAUUCCCUCCUUUUACUGUUCAGAAAUAAUAAACAUUUUGAUAUUUCCAGUAUUCGUCCGGAUCACCAUAUCUUUAGAGGAAUUUUUCUUCUAUUUGGACCGACCCUUUGGAGUUUUACCUUUUGGGGUUUUACUGAUGUGAAGGAGGGGUCGUGGUGGUGGUGGCCGUUCACUCUUGUCCAAUCUGGAUGUGGAUUAAUGGUGUUUUCCAGCCCAUAAAAUAUUUUAAAAUUUUUAUUUCACACGGGGUUAUGAAGCAUCGCUGCCUUUACGACAGCUCGACUGGAACUUUCAAAAUUAAAAAUGACAGGAACUGAAAGUUGUCAUAGAGAUUCCAAGGCACUACCAUUCUCUUAUUCUGUAGACGAUGUUCUGCGCUUUUCAACCAAGUAAGAAUAGAUCUCUGGAGAUGAGAAGAUGACCACCACGUGUCUUUUCCCAGUCUUUGGAUGGUACCUUUCACAUCCUGGAAGGGAGAAAGCUGAGUCACCACCACAGAGUCUGAACCUGAUUAUCAUAUUCAGUAGCCACUGCCAAGCAUACAUUAGCACCUCUCCCAGAACUACUCUCUGUCUGCACAGGGCACCUGGACACUCUGCUCAUGAGAAUGCAAUACCCAACAUGAGUCAAGAAAGCCCAAAGACGUCCACCCUGAUCUGGUGAUAGAUGACACCUGACCUCCUUAGCCAAUAUGCAGACUGAGACUGUAUCUGGCAGAGUUUCUGGCUGCAGAACCCUUGACCGUCAGAAGUGAAUGAAAGUUUGGUAAGCUGUGCUGGAGCACUGCCAGUGUGCGGUGCUGUGAGCCGCCCUCACAGGAUUUCAGGGAAGAACUGUGGGGAGGAGGCACUGAAUGCCUUAGAUGCAGCGGGGAGAAAACCCUUCCUCCUACACCCUUAAAACAGAGCGAAAGGAAACAAAAUAAUAAAACUAAUAACAAAAUAACAAAAUAAUACCCCCCCACAAGCUACACCCUUACUUUUCUGGUCUCACCUGCUGCUUUCCUUAGGAGAUAGUUUCAAUGGAAAAGAUUCUAAAGUUCAUGUGUUCGAAAGCUUCUUGACCUUGCAGUUGGCGAUGAUCUUUGGGGGGUUAUGGAACUGUGGCUGGGGUCACUGGGAGCCAGGUCUUUGGGGUCACAGCUCUGCCCUAUUUUUGGACCCAGUCUCUCUGUGUGUCAUCUGUCAAGAAGUGAGCAAGCUCUCCUACACUCCUUCUGCUCUGGUUCACCUCCACCAAUACCCGUACUCUCAACCCAGGGGUGAAAAUUCCUUUCUCCUUCAGUGUGCUUCUUCCUGGGCAUUUGGUAGCAGCAAUUUCAAAAGCUAAGCUACCUUACUAGUAUGAGCUUCAGUGGUUUACACCAGGUAGGUCGAGGGAAAGGUAAAACUUGGGAUUUGCUCAAAACAUGGCCACACACACACACACACCUGAUGCUCGACACACACAGCCAGGCACACCUGAUGCCAGAAAGGGUGAGGUGGGGAUGUCAGAAAGUCCUGGGAGGAACCCAGGCUGUGUUCUAGGCACAUAUCUAUAGCUCAUAGUUUGUGUGUUCUUGGAAGACACAGAAGUAUUAUAAACUCGUAAAUAGAAUUGCAUAAGACUGUACUCAUGACAUAAAUGAUUCCUCACACGAGCGAACCAAGAAAGCCCAAAGAUGUCUACCCUGAACUGCAGAUAAAACAUCAUCAGACCUCCUUAGUUAGACGCCGCUGACACACAUUCGGAGAUCUUAUCCGGCAGAGUUUCCAGGCGUACGGAAGGUGGAUUGAGUUCAGGAUGAAUGAACUAUUGAACAGUGGAGCUCAGGGAGUGGGCGAUGGAUUAGUGGACAAAAAUAGCCCUGGACACCUGUGUAAAUCCUUGGUGAUCUGAUCUACGCCAUAAAAACCAGACAGUGGGCAUCUGUAACUCAUAAUAAGUCCUUUCUAACAUCACUGAGGUUAUCUUAAAGAGCCUCUUGGUGCUCCCCUCCCCCAUAGCUUUAGAGUGGGGCCAGGCUGCUAACUGCGCCAACGCUGCAUUUGGAGGGCUGUGACUUGCAGCCUGACCUCCUGGAACUGAGUGGAGCAGCAAUCAACAAUGACUUUGUAAGCUGAUCCCUGCUACAGACCGUACAAAAUCCUCAACGGGGAGAGCUGCUUACCUACAGAGGUCACAGGAGCUCUGUGCUCACCACCCCUAAUGCCCGUGUUCCUUGAAGUUGGCUGUUCCUGAGUUGUAUCUUUUGAAGUGAACUGACAUUGAUUCCUUUGGAAACUUGGAUGGCAUCGUUUAAUCUGUGGAGUGGGAAAAAGGAGACGAAGGAAGGAAGAGGAGAGGAGACCAUAAAGUAAGCGGAUCUAACCUCCGUAUCUGCACUGCCAUUCCAUUUUCAAGUUUUGUUUCUUUGCUUUCAGAAGACCGUAGUGUUGGGAAGAUAGGAAAAUGUUGGGGCAUAUGUCAGCGCACAGCAGACAAAGACAGGAGGAUGUUACAGGGCUCCAUAAAGAGCAGAGUAUCGAAGGGGGGAAAGAGAAAUCCAGGCCAAAAGAGUGCUGAGAAAAAUGUUUAUUAUUAAAAAUUGGCAGUAGCCCUGGGUUCGGUCCCCAGCUCCGAAAAAAAGAACCAAAAAAAAAAAAUUGGCAGUAGAAGAAUCAAAACACCUAAAUAAUUCAAUUAUCUUACAAGUUUUUAAGCAUAUUAUCAAAACAUUGUUAUUAGCCCCUGAAUAAUUCGUUUGGAGCAAAUUAUAUCAAAGAAUUAUUUCAAGAUUUUAAGUAUAUAAUUCACUAUCUUUCAUAAAUGUUUUUACAACACAGGGAAAAUGUAGAUAAAUUCAAUCUUAACGUAUUCCCUAAUAAGCAGAAUAUUGCUGUUAGUGAAUACCUUCCAGUUUUCCAAAUUGUUCUCCCUGUUUCCUUUCCUUUCCUUUCCUUUCCUUCCCUUUCUUUUCUUUUCCUUCCCUUCCCUUCCCUUUCUUUUCUUUUCCUUCCCUUUCCUUCCUUCCUUCCUUCCUUCCUUCCUUCCUUCCUUUCUCUCUCUUUCUUUCUUUCUUUCUUUCUUUCUCCCUUCCUUCCUUCCUUCCUUUCUUUCUUUCUUUCUUUCUUUCUUUCUUUCUUUCUUUCUUUCUUUCUUUCUCUCUUCUUCUCCCACACACAGAGACAUACUGACAAGCAUGAGUUGAUAGCUCAGGAUUUCUAUAAACACCUGUGGUGGUUUGAAAUGAAAAUGGCCCCAUGGGCUUACAGGAGGUGGUACUUUUAGGAGGUGUGGCCUUGUCACUGGGGCCUGGCUUUGAGGUUUCAAAGCUCAACCGGGCCCAGUGUCUCUCUCUCCCUGCUGCUUGCAGAUCCUGAUGUAGAGCUCUCAGCUUACUCUCCAGCACCAUGCCUGCCUGCAUGCCACCAUGCUUCCUGCCGUGCGGAUAACGCAUGGAAUAUCUGAAAUGCUUUCCUUUGUAAGAGUUGCUGUGGUCAUGGUACCUCUUCUAAGGUACAGAACAGUAACCAAGACCGUCCUAUUAAAUACUCUAAAGCAAAUUGUUUGUUUGUUUAGAGACAAGGUUUCUCUGUGUAAUAACCCUUGCUAUCCUGGACUCAUUUUGUAGAGCAGGCUGUCCUUGAACUCACAGAGACCCAAAUGACUCAGCUUCCCAAGUGCUGGGAUUAAAGGCAUGUACCACCAUGCCAGGCCAGCCAGAAAGCAACAUUUUUUUAACAGUUUUAAAAUGACAAUUUACUGUAGCCUACAACACCAUUUAAUACCUGAAAACUUGAUUAUGUAUUAUGUUAUUAAUCAUAAAAAAUGUAUUGAUGAGCAUGAAAAUGUUUUUGAUAAAACUUAAAAACAAUUACUAUAUAUAUAUAUAUAUAUAAAAGAAUAGAAAGAUACUUUUCAAGAGCAUACAGAAAUUUCCCCCAAGCCAAUAGACAGCAGUGUAUUUAGUUGUGCAAACUACAAACAUUACUGUUAAAAUCAUAAGCAGGAAGCACAUUAUCAUGAUUAAUUUGCAACAUUAUAGAAUAUAUGGCUAAUUUAAUUAAUAUUAAUGAAGACUAGCUAGCAAUGGGAAAAGAACAUGUUAUAAAAAUACCCUCAGAAUAUGAAAAUUAUUAAAAAUAAAAUAUGUAUAUAUGUGUUAUUUUGGAAUACAUAGGGAAGACAGUAAAUUAGGUGCAUGUGAAGCAAACAUAGAAAACGGCUUCUUUAUAUACAUCACUGAGAAUUUAAAAUAAGGACCAACCUCCCUAUUAAUACUACCAAAGAAGUCAUAAACUAUGCAUGGAUAAUACAUGAGGAAAUUAAUAUGUUAUGCAUGACUCUACUGUACUGAGGAUUACAUAGAUGUGGAAAAUUUUGCUCUAUUUCUUUAUGAGAAGACUUAAUACUGUAAAGAUUUGAAGAUGUUAAAUAAAAUCCAAUUCUUCAACUCAAGAGUUUUCUCUGUUAACUCAUCAAAAUGGUGCUAGAAUAUAUAGGGAAAGACGGAGGCGUGUAGCAGAAACAGCAUUUCAAUAAGGAAAGCGAAUUGAUAUGUCUCUCCAGUGGAAACCCGCCACUGGCGAUAAACAGCAAACUCACCGGUAAAACCCUCAGUGAGUCGUCUGACAACGGCCCAUGAGAAUCCCUAGAAAAAAAAUUGUCUGUCCAGGCUGGUGCACUAACCAAUGAUACUUCAGUGACUAUGGAACCUAGAAUGGUGCUGAACCAAUAGACGACCAUUUCUCUUGGGGUCUCUUUAGCUCCCAAAGAGCCAUGCCCUGUGUACCAGGGUUGCAGACCUAACAUUCUAAUGAACAAAUAAAAACCUCUGGAAUGUCUGAACUUGACGAUUCUGUUGACACACCAACGGAAAGCCUCGCUGAGAGCUCACUGGAUCCGGGAAGUUGCUAAUAAAAACCCAGGCGGGGAUGGCACCUGCAGACAACUCACUCUACCUAGCCGUCAGAGCUGGCCUGGAAGAACAAAGGCUUUCUGGGGAGCUGCAAAUCACACAUUGAUCUUGCCCGAGAGUAUCUUUCCUUAGCGAUGAGAAGCUGGAAUAAAACGAAGUGGAAUGAAAAGCGGCAAGCAGAGGCCCUGAAGACUCCCACAGAAAUCCUGGUUCUGCAGAUUUACCUGUGCCGUGGGACCCACCUGUGUGGGACGAGGCACUUCUUGUUGAGCGUUCUGCUGCUCCAGAGUGCUUCAGCAUUACGUGUGGAAAGCAGAGACUUGAGGAAAAAUCAGUCAAACGAGAGCAUUGCAUAACUCGGACCACUGGAAAAUCCAUUCCCCCUUUAGGCAUCCCAAUGAGGGCAGUAACAACUAAGCAUGUUCCGGCUGUCGUGCUUACUCUAAUGCUGGCACUGGGGAGGAGAGGAGGCAAGUGCAUCCUAGGAGUUUGCUAGCAAGUGAGCCAGCUUCACCCCCUCACGCCACUCCCGGUGAGUUCCAGGCUAGUGGGAGACCGUAUCUCAAUAAACAAGGUGGUCAGAAUGGA
This is a non-coding RNA of Rattus norvegicus (Norway rat), 8588 nucleotides long. The record is from RefSeq and is a predicted model, not a curated record. NCBI's taxonomy places the organism in Eukaryota, Metazoa, Chordata, Mammalia, Rodentia, Muridae.